RNAcentral lists this ribosomal RNA (492 nucleotides) under uncultured bacterium. RNAcentral describes it as "partial 16S ribosomal RNA". It matches the Rfam family "Bacterial small subunit ribosomal RNA", at positions 29 to 507 of the family's 1533-position model. The record is from RNAcentral.
AGUGAACGCUGGCGGUAGGCCUAACACAUGCAAGUCGAACGGCAGCACAGUAAGAGCCUGCUCUUACGGGUGGCGAGUGGCGGACGGGUGAGGAAUACAUCGGAAUCUACUUUUUCGUGGGGGAUAACGUAGGGAAACUUACGCUAGUACCGCAUACGACCUACGGGUGAAAGCAGGGGAUCUUCGGACCUUGCGCGAUUGAAUGAGCCGAUGUCGGAUUAGCUAGUUGGCGGGGUAAAGGCCCACCAAGGCGACGAUCCGUAGCUGGUCUGAGAGGAUGAUCAGCCAAACUGGAACUGGGAAACGGUCCAGACUCCUACGGGAGGCAGCAGUGGGGAAAUUUGGAACAUGGGGGCAAGCCUUAUCCAGGCAUACCGGGUGGGUGAAGAAGGCCUUCAGGUUGUAAAGCCCUUUUGUUGGGAAAGAAAAGCAGCAGGUUAAUACCCCGCUGUUCUGACGGUACCCAAAGAAUAAGCACCGGCUAACUUCGUG